RNAcentral lists this microRNA precursor (115 nucleotides) under Xyrichtys novacula (pearly razorfish). The record is from RNAcentral. Lineage: Eukaryota; Metazoa; Chordata; Actinopteri; Labriformes; Labridae.
CUGUAAUCUCAGAGUCCUGUAAUCCACUCCUCCUCUUCUCCUCCUCCUACGCCAAGUUCCUACACAGAGGAGGAGGAGGAGAGCAGGAGUGGAUUACAGGACUCUGAGAUUACAU